UUGCUGGGUGGAUUAGUGGCGAACGGGUGAGUAACACGUGAGUAACCUGCCCUUGACUCUGGGAUAAGCCUGGGAAACUGGGUCUAAUACCGGAUAGGAACGUCCACCGCAUGGUGGUUGUUGGAAAGAUUUAUCGGUCAUGGAUGGACUCGCGGCCUAUCAGCUUGUUGGUGAGGUAAUGGCUCACCAAGGCGACGACGGGUAGCCGGCCUGAGAGGGUGACCGGCCACACUGGGACUGAGACACGGCCCAGACUCCUACGGGAGGCAGCAGUGGGGAAUAUUGCACAAUGGGCGAAAGCCUGAUGCAGCGACGCCGCGUGAGGGAUGACGGCCUUCGGGUUGUAAACCUCUUUCAGUAGGGAAGAAGCGAAAGUGACGGUACCUGCAGAAGAAGCACCGGCUAACUACGUGCCAGCAGCCGCGGUAAUACGUAGGGUGCGAGCGUUAUCCGGAAUUAUUGGGCGUAAAGAGCUCGUAGGCGGUUUGUCGCGUCUGUCGUGAAAGUCCGGGGCUUAACCCCGGAUCUGCGGUGGGUACCGGCAGACUAGAGUGCAGUAGGGGAGACUGGAAUUCCUGGUGUAGCGGUGGAAUGCGCAGAUAUCAGGGAGGAACACCCGAUGGCGAAGGCAGGUCUCUGGGCUGUAACUGACG
This 653-nucleotide ribosomal RNA is filed under the name Micrococcus sp. CS11. RNAcentral describes it as "bacterial SSU rRNA". It matches the Rfam family "Bacterial small subunit ribosomal RNA", at positions 80 to 745 of the family's 1533-position model. The record is from RNAcentral. Lineage: Bacteria; Bacillati; Actinomycetota; Actinomycetes; Micrococcales; Micrococcaceae.